RNAcentral lists this ribosomal RNA (476 nucleotides) under uncultured bacterium. RNAcentral's name for it is "bacterial SSU rRNA". It matches the Rfam family "Bacterial small subunit ribosomal RNA", at positions 55 to 527 of the family's 1533-position model. The record is from RNAcentral.
AUGCAGUCGACGCGAAAGUCACUUCGGUGGCGAGUAGAGUGGCGGACGGGUGAGUAACGCGUGGGAAUCUGCCUCGUAGUGGGGGACAACCCGGGGAAACCCGGGCUAAUACCGCAUACGUCUUACGAGAGAAAGGGUGCCUCUGCUUGCAAGCACUCGCUAUGAGAUGAGCCCGCGUCGGAUUAGCUAGUUGGUGAGGUAAAGGCUCACCAAGGCGACGAUCCGUAGCUGGUCUGAGAGGAUGAUCAGCCACACUGGGACUGAGACACGGCCCAGACUCCUACGGGAGGCAGCAGUGGGGAAUAUUGGACAAUGGGCGCAAGCCUGAUCCAGCAAUGCCGCGUGUGUGAAGAAGGCCUGCGGGUUGUAAAGCACUUUCAGUUGGGAAGAAAAGCCUGUGGUUAAUAGCUGCGGGUCUUGACGUUACCGACAGAAGAAGCACCGGCUAACUCCGUGCCAGCAGCCGCGGUAAUACG